GUACAAUUAAGUCAGGCCUAACUCACUCUCUAUCCUGAAUAGCUUUUUUUUUUUCCCCUGGAUUCCUGAUUGCUUUGCUUAUUUUCAGAUUUAGUGACUCAAUUCAACUUUUAAAGUCCCAGUUAAAGUUUAGUGCUGGGGCACAGAUAAAAUUCUGAAAAAAGCUACUCUACUAAUAACAGCCGCCAGAAUUCUACCGCCACGUGGGUGGUCUCUGCCAGCUUCCCGAGUUGUGCCCCCCGAGUGGAUGGACAAAAUAAUACAGAGACAUUAUAAAAGGAACAUGGAUGAAGAGCUGCUUGAAGGAGUAUGGGCAGCUAAGAUCUCCUCAUCUUCAUGAUUAUUAUCUUCUCACUUCUUUGGAGCAGGAAGAUCAUGAGAAACCUUCUCUACAGUUUCAUACUAUGCCUGAUGUGUACCACUCUCCUCCCCCAGUGGAAAGGAGGAUGGACAAGACAAUGAACAUGUAUUGUUAUCUCCCCAGAACCUUCAUCCAGCAGCUGAUGGAAGUGGAAGCAGACACCCACAGCUAAACACUGAACUGAACUGGAAUUCAGUUGCAGAGAAGGAGGAAAGAUGAGCAAAGGGGUCAAGACCAGGCUGGUGAAACCCACAGAAACAGCUGAUGUGAACAAGGGAGAGCUCUUGGUUCCCAGACUGAUCACUGGGAAACCAACAUGGAACUGAACCAGACCUCAUGAAUGUGGAUGUCAGUGAGGAGGCCUGGGAAAU
RNAcentral lists this long non-coding RNA (732 nucleotides) under Cricetulus griseus (Chinese hamster). RNAcentral's name for it is "lncRNA (ENSCGRG00015018246.2)". The record is from RNAcentral. Lineage: Eukaryota; Metazoa; Chordata; Mammalia; Rodentia; Cricetidae.